ACCAGUUCGACGAUAUCUGACAGUAUCCAGUGAAAGAUACUGGAAAAUUCAAUAAAUUUUAAUAGCUUUUAACACUUUUUAAAAUGUACAGGAAAAUCCAGUAGUGGUUCGUUUAAUUUUCGAUACCUGUUCAGAAUCAGAGAAAUUAAACUAUAAGCUGCCGCCGAACAUAAAUUGAACUAAAGAAUAUGGUUAGGUCUAUUUCUGAUCCCAUGUUUGUUUAUCAGGUUGGUGCGGAAUCGGAAACUUCUUCAGCAGCAAAUAAUUGAACAAUGAGUGAUAAAAAAAUCCUCAAGAAUAUUACAACUCGUUCUCACAUUUUAUUUAAAUGAGAACAUCCGGAUUAAUAAAAAUUAGUCAUCUGUUCAGAGAAACUUUCGGGCGCGUAAUUAUGAUCCGGAAAAUGCUCACUGAAGAGGUUCAUCAUACUUAACCAGCAUCAACAUGAGAAGAAUAAUAAUAAUUAAGCUUAAUUUUUAAGCUAAAAUUUGAAAAAGCUGAUGAAUACCGCUGUUUUUAUUCAAUUUCCGAUUCGCGGGAUUUGGUUCUGACACUCUACAGGAACCCGAACCAGAAGAACCCCGGACCUGCCCCCGAUGCCAGUUGAACAGAUCUUCGCAAUUAUGGAAAGUUUUUAAUCGGUGACAACAUACAAACGGAGUACGAAAUGGCCUGUGGAAUCCUUAAACCUGGACAUUACUGCUGAGAACAUAUAUAGAUCUGAAUCCGUAAUAAUCUUCAAAUUUACAUGAUAUGAUGAAAGUUUUCUUUUUCAAUUAUGCCAUUAAAUUUGUUUUAUCAAGUUUAAUGAUGUAUUUCCUUUACGCUA
Long non-coding RNA from Uranotaenia lowii, 829 nucleotides. RefSeq lists it as uncharacterized. Lineage: Eukaryota; Metazoa; Arthropoda; Insecta; Diptera; Culicidae. The transcript has 3 exons. The record is from RefSeq and is a predicted model, not a curated record.